CCUACGGGCGGCAGCAGUGGGGAAUAUUGGACAAUGGGGGGAACCCUGAUCCAGCCAUGCCGCGUGUGUGAAGAAGGCCCUCGGGUUGUAAAGCACUUUCAGUGAGGAAGAACGCCUGGUGGUUAAUACCCAUCAGGAAAGACAUCACUCACAGAAGAAGCACCGGCUAACUCCGUGCCAGCAGCCGCGGUAAUACGGAGGGUGCGAGCGUUAAUCGGAAUUACUGGGCGUAAAGCGCGCGUAGGUGGCUUGAUAAGCCGGUUGUGAAAGCCCCGGGCUCAACCUGGGAACGGCAUCCGGAACUGUCAAGCUAGAGUGCAGGAGAGGAAGGUAGAAUUCUCGGUGUAGCGGUGAAAUGCGUAGAGAUCGGGAGGAAUACCAGUGGCGAAGGCGGCCUUCUGGACUGACACUGACACUGAGGUGCGAAAGCGUGGGUAGCAAACAGGAUUAGAUACCCUUGUAGUC
RNAcentral lists this ribosomal RNA (465 nucleotides) under Vreelandella stevensii. RNAcentral describes it as "partial 16S ribosomal RNA". It matches the Rfam family "Bacterial small subunit ribosomal RNA", at positions 338 to 795 of the family's 1533-position model. The record is from RNAcentral. Lineage: Bacteria; Pseudomonadati; Pseudomonadota; Gammaproteobacteria; Oceanospirillales; Halomonadaceae.